CGACCCCAGGUCAGGCGGGGUUACCCGUUGAAUUUAAGCAUAUCAAUAAGCGGAGGA
RNAcentral lists this ribosomal RNA (57 nucleotides) under Rubus elatior. RNAcentral's name for it is "partial 26S ribosomal RNA". The record is from RNAcentral. Lineage: Eukaryota; Viridiplantae; Streptophyta; Magnoliopsida; Rosales; Rosaceae.